GAUGAACGCUGGCGGCGUGCCUAAUACAUGCAAGUCGAGCGAACGGAUGAGAAGCUUGCUCCUCUGACGUUAGCGGCGGACGGGUGAGUAACACGUGGAUAACCUACCUAUAAGACUGGGAUAACUUCGGGAAACCGUAGCUAAUACCGGAUAAUAUUUUGAACCGCAUGGUUCUAAAGUGAAAGAUGGUCUUGCUAUCACUUAUAGAUGGAUCCGCGCCGCAUUAGCUAGUUGGUAAGGUAACGGCUUACCAAGGCAACGAUGCAUAGCCGACCUGAGAGGGUGAUCGGCCACACUGGAACUGAGACACGGUCCAGACUCCUACGGGAGGCAGCAGUAGGGAAUCUUCCGCAAUGGGCGAAAGCCUGACGGAGCAACGCCGCGUGAGUGAUGAAGGGUUUCGGAUCGUAAAACUCUGUUAUUAGGGAAGAACAUAUGUGUAAGUAACUGUGCACAUCUUGACGGUACCUAAUCAGAAAGCCACGGCUAACUACGUG
Molecule: ribosomal RNA, 497 nt
Filed under: uncultured bacterium
Lineage: Bacteria
Description: partial 16S ribosomal RNA
Rfam family: Bacterial small subunit ribosomal RNA
Source: RNAcentral